RNAcentral lists this non-coding RNA (28 nucleotides) under Mus musculus (house mouse). Lineage: Eukaryota; Metazoa; Chordata; Mammalia; Rodentia; Muridae. The record is from RNAcentral.
UCAGCCUGAUGUCUCUUGUGGACCUGUG